Long non-coding RNA from Diabrotica virgifera virgifera (western corn rootworm), 1227 nucleotides. RefSeq lists it as uncharacterized. The record is from RefSeq and is a predicted model, not a curated record. The transcript is spliced from 3 exons. NCBI's taxonomy places the organism in Eukaryota, Metazoa, Arthropoda, Insecta, Coleoptera, Chrysomelidae.
AUCCUUAGCCCCCCCCCUGUAUCAUAGGGCCAGCUGUAUAUACUGGCCAGUAUAAUUUUUAAAUUGAAUCUCAUCAAGAUAAGUAUUCACUAUGCUAGCGACAAGAAGAAGUGCAUUAGCACCAAUAUGUCAUAUCCAAUAUGGCUUUCUAAUGGCAAAACAUGAUCUUCUAAAAUGUUUUCAAUGUACAUAUCAGUUGGCAUUCGCCUAAUCACCUUCACGUGUUCGGUAUGUCCUUUCAAAGCAGUACCGCUCCAUUAGGCAAUCCAAACCACGUGACCUCUGGUUGGCACACAAACUAACAAAGAGGUUAUGUUUGUAUCUAUUUUUCAAUGAUUUUUCAUUGUUUAUGGUCGUAUUUUGGAUUCAUUUGGAUUUCGUUUCCUGUUUUUGUGAACUUUAUAAACUUUACCACAAUGCAAAGUGUUUAUUUAAGGAAAUUAUUAUUGGAAACUCCAGAUGUUGCGAGAAAGAUAUUUAUUGAAGCUGAAAAUAAUUGGGGAUUUAGAUCCAUAGGCAAUUCAGUCAGAAUUGGAUUUUACAGUAAAGUGCAGUCCAUCAAGUUACUAUUAUAGAUAUUUGUACAUAUCUGGUGGAGUCUCAACAGUUGCUACUCUAAGCAGCAGAUGAAAGCAUACAAAAGCUUUCAGGCAUAUAAAUAUUUUACAGCAGGAUUUAUUUUAAAAGUUUUGGAGUAAAAAUUGUUAAUUGUUGGAAAGGUGAAGCAUUUCCAAAAAGCUAAUUCUAAACGACUAAAUGCUUGGGUGGGGUGAUAGCCAGUUCUGAUGACAUAGCAAAUGCACAUUGUAUGCGUGUGGCCCGUAAUAGUGAAGUCUGCAGCCAUAUUGCAGCAAUCCUAUUUUUAGCUGAGUAUGCCCAGGGCAACACAGACGAAGAAGAACCCAAUGCAUGUACAUAUGUUACAUGGUUUGGAGAUAGCAACAUAUGCAUUCUCUGAUGAAAAACUAAUGAGUUUUGAAACUGUUCGGUCAGAGUGCUUGUUGAGCUCACUAAACGAACUGAAAUAUAAGACAGCUUUGGCAUUGUGUUGCAGCGAUAUGAAAAUGGUUAUUCAUUUUUAAUUAUAAUGUACUUCUUCAUCAUGAGUAAUUUUGUAUUGGUCUUUUAAAUGUGUAUUUAUUUUUGUAAUUAGUAUCAACUUGUAAUGAUAAUAUACAUUUAUCGUUUAAGGUGUAUGUUUUGACUCUAAAAUAAAUGUUUUAAAAA